GCCAGGCAUGGUGGCUCACGCCUGUAAUCCCAGCACUGUGGGAGGCAGAGGCAGGUGGAUCACCUGAGGUCAGGAGUUUUUGAGACCAACCUGGCCAACAUGGUGAAACCCUGUCUCUA
Pongo abelii (Sumatran orangutan) is the source of this 119-nucleotide unclassified non-coding RNA. It matches the Rfam family "Metazoan signal recognition particle RNA". From Rfam's summary of the family: The signal recognition particle (SRP) is a universally conserved ribonucleoprotein. It is involved in the co-translational targeting of proteins to membranes. NCBI's taxonomy places the organism in Eukaryota, Metazoa, Chordata, Mammalia, Primates, Hominidae. The record is from Ensembl.